GAUGAAGAACGCAGCGAAAUGCGAUAAGUAAUGUGAAUUGCAGAAUUCAGUGAAACAUCGAGUCUUUGAACGCACAUUGCGCCCCCUGGUAUUCCGGGGGGCAUGCCUGUCCGAGCGUCAUUGCCGCCCUCAAGCACGGCUUGUGUGUUGGGCCCCCGCCCCCCGGCUUCGGGGGGCGGGCCCGAAAGGCAGCGGCGGCACCGCGUCCGGUCCUCGAGCGUAUGGGGCUUCGUCACCCGCUCUGUAGGCCCGGCCGGCGCCCGCCGGCGACCCCAAUCAAUCUUUCCAGGUUGACCUCGGAUCAGGUAGGGAUACCCGCUGAACUUAAGCAUAUCAAUAAGCGGAGGA
This 348-nucleotide unclassified non-coding RNA is filed under the name soil metagenome. RNAcentral describes it as "partial contains 5.8S ribosomal RNA, internal transcribed spacer 2, and large subunit ribosomal RNA". The stretch from base 1 to 120 matches the Rfam family "5.8S ribosomal RNA", at positions 35 to 154 of the family's 154-position model. The record is from RNAcentral.